GCACAGGAGCAGAGGCCGGGACCUGGCGGCCGGUGCGGGGAGAGGGCAGCCUCCAGCACACUGGAGGGGACACCAGCUGGAGCAUGGGUCCCAAGGAUGAGGCCGGGGGCUUCCCUAAGAAGCACGGGCUGAAAGGGAGCUCAUCGGUGUUUCCAUCAGCUGGACGGCCCACCACCUCAGGGAGCUGCUUCCCAAAGAGCACCGCUCCAGGACCUGGUUCUGUUUUGUGUCCUGUUAAUCCAGCAGGGACACAAGAGAGCUGAGAGUGCAAACUGAGCUGGUGUUAACAACGCCUAGUGGAGAUGAAAGACCUAUGCAAACGCGAGGUGUUAUUAGCUUACACAGGAACCUUCCUGUUUUGUUUUUAAUUAUGAAGUACCAUUACCACCAUUUUUUGUUUCCAUAACAUCUUGCUUUAUGAGUUUUAAAGUUAUUUCCAAACAUCAGGACAAUCAUGAAGUGAGUAGGUUAACACAGCUUUAUUUCAACAUAUUGAGAAUAUAGUGAGAUACAGAGAAUUUCACUGAUUUUCUUAAAAGUCAAAAAUACGAUCUAAAGUUCAGAUUCGUUAUUAUCUUCAAUGGAAUACUCCCUACGAG
RNAcentral lists this long non-coding RNA (599 nucleotides) under Capra hircus (goat). RNAcentral describes it as "lncRNA (ENSCHIG00000006846.1)". Lineage: Eukaryota; Metazoa; Chordata; Mammalia; Artiodactyla; Bovidae. The record is from RNAcentral.